CCCGCUGAACUUAAGCAUAUCAAUAAGCGGAGGAAAAGAAACUAACAAGGAUUCCCCUAGUAACUGCGAGUGAAGCGGGAAAAGCUCAAAUUUAAAAUCUGACAGUCUUUGGCUGUCCGAGUUGUAAUCUAGAGAAGUGUUAUCCGCGCUGGACCGUGUAUAAGUCUCCUGGAAUGGAGCGUCAUAGAGGGUGAGAAUCCCGUCUUUGACACGGACUCCCAGGGCUUUUGUGAUGCGCUCUCGAAGAGUCGAGUUGUUUGGGAAUGCAGCUCUAAAUGGGUGGUAAAUUCCAUCUAAAGCUAAAUAUUGGCAAGAGACCGAUAGCGAACAAGUACCGUGAGGGAAAGAUGAAAAGAACUUUGGAAAGAGAGUUAAACAGUACGUGAAAUUGUUGAAAGGGAAACGCUUAAAGUCAGUCGCAUUAACUGGAAAUCAGCCUUGCUUUUGCCUGGCGUAUUUUCCAGCUUUAAUGGGUCAGCAUCAAUUUUGACCAAUGGAUAAAGAUGAAGGGAAUGUGGCAUCUCUUAGAUGUGUUAUAGCCUUUUAUCACAUACAUUGGUUGGGAUUGAGGAACUCAGCAUGCCGAAAGGCCGGAUCUUUGAUCACGUUCAUGCCUAGGAUGUUGGCAAAAUGGCUUUAAUCGACCCGUCUUGAAACACGG
RNAcentral lists this ribosomal RNA (661 nucleotides) under uncultured fungus. RNAcentral describes it as "eukaryotic LSU rRNA". It matches the Rfam family "Eukaryotic large subunit ribosomal RNA", at positions 24 to 664 of the family's 3401-position model. The record is from RNAcentral. Lineage: Eukaryota; Fungi.